RNAcentral lists this transfer RNA (74 nucleotides) under Chloroflexota bacterium. RNAcentral's name for it is "Chloroflexi bacterium tRNA-Pro". It matches the Rfam family "tRNA". Rfam says of the family: Transfer RNA (tRNA) molecules are approximately 80 nucleotides in length. Lineage: Bacteria; Bacillati; Chloroflexota. The record is from RNAcentral.
CGGGGUGUAGCUCAGCUUGGCAGAGCGCUGCGUUUGGGACGCAGAGGCCCCCGGUUCGAGUCCGGGCACCCCGA